UAAGGAAUAUUGGACAAUGGAGGCAACUCUGAUCCAGCCAUGCCGCGUGAAGGAAUAAGGCCCUAUGGGUUGUAAACUUCUUUUAGACGGGACAAAACCCCUUUACGUGUAAAGGGUUGAUGGUACUGUCAGAAUAAGCAUCGGCUAACUUCGUGCCAGCAGCCGCGGUAAUACGAAGGAUGCAAGCGUUAUCCGGAAUUAUUGGGUUUAAAGGGUGCGUAGGCGGACUAGUAAGUCAGUGGUGAAAGCCUGCAGCUUAACUGCAGAAUUGCCAUGGAUACUGUUAGUCUUGAGUACAGUUGAGGUAGGCGGAAUGUGUCAUGUAGCGGUGAAAUGCUUAGAUAGGACACAGAACACCGAUUGCGAAGGCAGCUUGCUAAGCUGUAACUGACGCUGAGGCACGAAAGCGUGGGGAGCAAACA
RNAcentral lists this ribosomal RNA (422 nucleotides) under uncultured bacterium. RNAcentral's name for it is "bacterial SSU rRNA". It matches the Rfam family "Bacterial small subunit ribosomal RNA", at positions 355 to 774 of the family's 1533-position model. The record is from RNAcentral.